Molecule: non-coding RNA, 101 nt
Organism: Mycena crocata
Lineage: Eukaryota; Fungi; Basidiomycota; Agaricomycetes; Agaricales; Mycenaceae
Source: the annotation of a GenBank genome assembly
GGCUGUGUAGUGUAGUGGUUAUCACUCUAGAUUUUGAGUUUCAUGCCAACGAAUGAUUUACGUACCUUCUAGCGACCCCAGUUCGAGCCCGGGCACGGCCU